GAUGAACGCUAGCGGCAGGCCUAAUACAUGCAAGUCGAACGGUAACAUGAGUAGCAAUACUUGAUGACGAGUGGCGCACGGGUGCGUAACGCGUAUGCAAUCUACCUUUAACUGGUGAAUAGCCCGAAGAAAUUCGGAUUAAUACACCAUAGUAUAUUUGAAUGGCAUCAUUUAAAUAUUAAAACUCCGGUGGUUAAAGAUGAGCAUGCGUGACAUUAGCUAGUUGGUGAGGUAAUGGCUCACUAAGGCUACGAUGUCUAGGGGAUCUGAGAGGAUUAACCCCCACACUGGUACUGAGACACGGACCAGGCUCCUACGGGAGGCAGCAGUAAGGAAUAUUGGACAAUGGUCGAAAGACUGAUCCAGCCAUGCCGCGUGAAGGAUGACGGCCCUAUGGGUUGUAAACUUCUUUUGUAUGGGAAAAAACCCUUCUACGUGUAGAAGGCUGAUGGUACCAUAAGAAUAAGGACCGGCUAACUCCGUGCCAGCCGCCGCCGUAA
Molecule: ribosomal RNA, 500 nt
Filed under: uncultured bacterium
Lineage: Bacteria
Description: partial 16S ribosomal RNA
Rfam family: Bacterial small subunit ribosomal RNA
Source: RNAcentral